GAUAAUUUAGUUUAUAUAAAACAAAUGUUUUGAAAACAUUAAUAAGAGUACAAAAUUUCUAAUUAUUA
Molecule: transfer RNA, 68 nt
Filed under: Parastacus brasiliensis
Lineage: Eukaryota; Metazoa; Arthropoda; Malacostraca; Decapoda; Parastacidae
Description: tRNA-Ser
Source: RNAcentral